This 114-nucleotide ribosomal RNA is filed under the name Enterobacter roggenkampii. RNAcentral describes it as "partial 23S ribosomal RNA". It matches the Rfam family "Bacterial large subunit ribosomal RNA", at positions 2801 to 2925 of the family's 2925-position model. Lineage: Bacteria; Pseudomonadati; Pseudomonadota; Gammaproteobacteria; Enterobacterales; Enterobacteriaceae. The record is from RNAcentral.
AAGACUUUAAGUCUCCUGAAGGAACGUUGAAGACGACGACGUUGAUAGGUCGGGUGUGUAAGCGCAGCGAUGCGUUGAGCUAACCGAUACUAAUGAACCGUGAGGCUUAACCUU